Acomys russatus (golden spiny mouse) is the source of this 122-nucleotide small nucleolar RNA. RefSeq annotates it as small nucleolar RNA SNORA26. The record is from RefSeq and is a predicted model, not a curated record. NCBI's taxonomy places the organism in Eukaryota, Metazoa, Chordata, Mammalia, Rodentia, Muridae. The transcript has a single exon.
GUGCCACUAUGCCUGGCCCAGUACUUUUUAAGAAGCUGGCACAGAAGGGUAAAGGAACUCUCCAUAAAACCCAGAAAGGAGGGCAUACACCACCUCUUAUGAUCCUGUCUGGAGUCACAGAU